This 484-nucleotide ribosomal RNA is filed under the name Diaphanes nubilus. RNAcentral describes it as "partial 16S ribosomal RNA". The stretch from base 366 to 484 matches the Rfam family "Bacterial large subunit ribosomal RNA", at positions 2473 to 2592 of the family's 2925-position model. The record is from RNAcentral. Lineage: Eukaryota; Metazoa; Arthropoda; Insecta; Coleoptera; Lampyridae.
GUCUUUUUGAUAAUAAUUUAAAGUCUAGUCUGCUCAAUGAUUAAUUAAAUAGCUGCAGUAUUUUGACUGUACAAAGGUAGCAUAAUAAUUAGUUACUUAAUUAGUAGCUUGAAUGAAUGAUUGAACAAGAAAGUUUCUGUCUUUUUUUAAGAUUUUUUGAAUUUUAUUUUUAAGUUAAAAUGCUUAAUUAUAUAUAAAAGACGAGAAGACCCCAUAGAGUUUUAUUUUUUUAUAUUUUAGUAUUAUUAUUUUUAAUUAAAAAUUAGUUGGGGUGACUAGAAGAUUAAAUCAACUCUUUUAAUUUCAAUCAUUAAUUUUUGAAUAAUAAGUCUAAUUUUAUUAAAUUUAAAUUAAAUUACCUUGGGGAUAACAGCGUAAUUCUUUUUUAGAGUUCUUAUCAAAUAAAGAGAUUGCGACCUCGAUGUUGGAUUAAAAUUUAUUUUAGGCGUAGGAGUUUAAAAAUUAAGUCUGUUCGACUUUUAAA